AGUGAAAACUGCACCCUGAACCUUGAGAACCAAGACGCAGUUGCCCAAUGGCGGGCCCCGUAUAGUACAGGGUGGAUUAUACGAUGGUGUUAGCAAAAACUCAAUUCAUUCAUAUAUUGCUACAGAAUGUAAGACAAUCAUGGUCGUACAGUGAAGAAACCUCAUGAACAUCUAAUCUCUAUCUGGUGUAGGCAUGUGAUCUGAACCCCUGCUGCCAUCCGUUCUUGCUGGAGAGCCCUUGUGCCUUGCUAUGUUUUGACAGAACCUACAAGCGGAAUCAGGCAAAGCUUCUUAGACCAUCUGGAACAAAAACAACAAAUAUUUUUGCCAAAGAGCUCAAACGGCUGUUAAGUGGCCAUAGGGAGGGAAGGACACAUACAUAUCCAACUCUUCUUCCC
This 398-nucleotide long non-coding RNA is filed under the name Panicum hallii. RNAcentral's name for it is "long non-coding RNA (PHAL_LNC000634)". The record is from RNAcentral. Lineage: Eukaryota; Viridiplantae; Streptophyta; Magnoliopsida; Poales; Poaceae.